RNAcentral lists this ribosomal RNA (424 nucleotides) under uncultured Clostridium sp. Its description in RNAcentral is "bacterial SSU rRNA". It matches the Rfam family "Bacterial small subunit ribosomal RNA", at positions 91 to 533 of the family's 1533-position model. Lineage: Bacteria; Bacillati; Bacillota; Clostridia; Eubacteriales; Clostridiaceae. The record is from RNAcentral.
GAGAGUGGCGAACGGGUGAGUAACGCGUGAGCAACCUGCCUAUGACAGUGGGAUAGCCUCGGGAAACCGGGAUUAAUACCGCAUAAAAUCGUAGAAACACAUGUUUCAACGGUCAAAGAUUUAUCGGUCAUAGAUGGGCUCGCGUCUGAUUAGCUAGUUGGUGAGAUAACAGCCCACCAAGGCGACGAUCAGUAGCCGGUCUGAGAGGAUGAACGGCCACAUUGGAACUGAGACACGGUCCAAACUCCUACGGGAGGCAGCAGUGGGGAAUAUUGCACAAUGGGGGAAACCCUGAUGCAGCGACGCCGCGUGAACGAAGAAGGUAUUCGUAUCGUACAGUUCUGUCCUAUGGGAAGAUAAUGACAGUACCAUAGAAGAAAGCUCCGGCUAAAUACGUGCCAGCAGCCGCGGUAAUACGUAUGGA